Molecule: long non-coding RNA, 4509 nt
Organism: Chinchilla lanigera (long-tailed chinchilla)
Lineage: Eukaryota; Metazoa; Chordata; Mammalia; Rodentia; Chinchillidae
Source: Ensembl
CACAGUCAAAGUUACAGGAAACAGAGUUGAAGGAAAUCUGUCCAUUCUCUUUCAGAUUGCAGAGCAGAAGAGCAUCCCACUUCUCCAGCUUUCUGUUUCUGAGAACCUGGCUCUAUUUCAGGAUUCUGUCCUGUAGGCCAAGCACUGCUGCCUCAACAAAGCAAAACAAGAGAAGUACAACUCCUUGGAACCUACUUCAGGUUAGCAUAGAAGAGAGGAGGACAUUCUGGCUGGUUAAAAGAGGACUCCCUGUGUUCCAGCUCAAAGGAAGAAUGCACAGAAACACCGAAGCUCGCUCUGGAAAAUGAGUCGACUCAGCUGCUGAAGUGGAAAUAACACAACACUGUGGAGAUAGAAAAUAAAAUCCCAGCACAAUGUCCCGCUUGAGAAGCGCCAGUCCGGGUAAAGACAGUCAGGUGCCAACCCAGCUAAAGACAAAGUCUUCCCCAUGGUGUUCGCUGCCAGAAUUAUAUGCAUUGGUUGAAAAUUUUAAUAAGGACAGUAAAAAAUCAAGUCUCCUAAAAACUCGUAGCAUUUCACCUACAGAAGGACAGAAACUACUUGCUAAAAGCCUAAGCACCAUGGCGUUCAUCAGCAGAACCGGCCUGAGAAGAGAAGAUCCGCAGCCAGUGUUGCCGUGCAGCGUGGUUAAAAGGGAACUCGAGAAGCCGCCGCCCAUGGCUGUGCGCCUGUACCGCAGCUUGCUAGAGGGCAUGCUCUCCCCAGGGGCAGGGCUCCCCAGGUCCCAGAAGAGACUGAUUGAGGAAGGGAUCUCUCCUCCCGCGCACUCUUUUCCUUACAGCGUUAUCCAGGAAGGCUUGGAAGCUCUGGCACAGAUUACCACUGAGAAGACUCAGAUCCCCCAGGUGUUAGACAGUCCACGCCUACUGAAGCUGUUCUUCGAAGACACAGUUCCCAGAUACUUCUUUGUGGACCCAGAAAAGCAAUUCAUGGAUCUAAGAGACCUGGAAUGGAGAUAUUUUAAGGGGCUUGCAAAGUGGAAGCACAUGACUGUGGUUUCAAUCAUGGAGAUAAAAUACAACAGUGAGAAGAGAUUUGUAGAGAGCUGGAACAUGCCUCGUGCUGUUUCCCCCCCUCUAGUACGUAAGUCUUCGGUCAUUUAUCCUGAGAUUGAAUACCGGAAGGAAGGAACUUGUGAUCUUAAAUGGAAUAUUUAGUUUACUGAAAAUAUCUUGGAUGUGGAUUUUUGCUAUUGAGAGCACCGAAAAAGUGAAGAAGAGGCACCCAAUGUAACAUCUGAACAAUAUUCAGGUAAAGCCACAAAAUAAAAAAGCUGUCAAUAUAGAUUAAAACACUCAGGCUAAUCGGCUAGUAUAACAUUUGGUUUUGACCCAUGUAGCCCAUUUGGGCUGAGGCUGAGGUAGAUGUUGAUCCUAUGAAAAUAAAGGCUGCACAGGGAGAGCUCCCAAGCAAGAAUAGCUCUUUUACUUGGCCUGCACAAGGCCCUAAGAUCCAUCCACAGCAGCCCUCCUCCCUACAAAAAUAUAAGCACAUAAGGAAGCCCAUCACCAUAAAAGCAGCUGAUAAAUUUAGCAGAUGGAAGAAUUGACACCUAUGGAUGUAGAGGUCGGUCCGAGAAUUUUAAUGUUAACUGCUUAAGGCAUUAAGGAAGUAGCAUUCAUGAAGCAAGGACUGAAAGAUGUGAAAAAGGAACAAAUUGAAAAUCUCAGAAGUGAAAAGAAAGGCAUUACAAUAAUAAUAACCCUCAGUAAAGUAUCUGACUAUUAUAAUAGACACAUCUGAAAGGAAGGGACUGAUGAUUUGGAAGAGAGCAAUGAAAAGCUUCCAAAUCAUAGCACAGGAGGCUAUGGUAAUGGAAGAUGCAAUGAGAAGUUCACAUCAAAUGGGAGUUGUACUAGAAAAAGGGACACUAGAAAAGAGGUGCUGUUUAACUGUAUUAAAUCUGAACAUACCUGUUGUAUAUGAAUUAAAGUAAAUGACUAACUCUUUGGAAAUGAAGAAGCAAGACUUGAAUUGAAAAAUCUCACUGAUAAGCAAGAAAUGAAAAAUAAAUCUAUGCCUGGAAACUCUAUGGAAAAACUAUAGAGCAUUAAGCAUUAAAGGAAAGUAUAAUCUAAUGGAGACAGGCUACAGGCAAAGAAACAACAAACUAACAAGGGAACUUGCAUUAGCAACAGAUGUCAGAAGGUGAUGGUGUCAGCACAAAAUGCUGAGGGAAAACAGUCACCCAGAGUUUUCUAACCAGCGAAACUCUCUAAAUAGAGCUGAUAAAAUAAAUGCAUUAAAAAAUAUAGUAUAUAAGUAUCGGGGACUUGGCCUAGCCCCCAAUUUCCUAAAACAAGUUACAGCAAAGGCCUACAUUAAAAAGAGACAAGUAUGGUUUUGGGGAAUUCAGGAAGGUCAGAAUUCUCGGAGAGUACAGGCCACAAGUUUUCCCGAUCACCCCUGUUUACUAGGUUUUCACAGAUUUGGGGGGAGGUGCAGGAAGGGGAGUGCACAUCAGGGGCAAAAGCCGGUGAAAACGACCAGGGUCCUGAGAAACAAAGUCCAUAGUCCAAGGUGGCAGGCAGGAAGCAGCAGGCAGCAGCAGCAGCAAGCCUGCCUUCUGUCUCUUUAUAUCCAUGCAGGCUGUAAAGCUAUAGAUUGGUGCCACCCCUACCCAGGGGGGAGCUUCCACAGUCCACCUCCUUAAUCCCAGUAUCAUACCCAUAAUCCCCAUCUACAUGCCCUAAUCCAGCCACCUCUGAAACUCCCUACUAUGACCACGUGAGGCUUUGGGGGGAACAUCUAGAUCUAAGCCAUGACAGGGGGCUUUUUCUAAACUUUUAGUAGAUAGGUAUCUUUUAUUAUUUUAACUGCACAAUUAUCAUUUCAGAAAGAGCUAAUCUGAUACUGUCUUUUAAAUAGGCCUCUCAUUUUCAUCAGGUCAUUUAUAUGUAUUGGUAGCGUCGCUGGCCCCAAAAUUUAAACAGCAUACAUGCGACUCUCAUUGAGCCAGGUGCUUUGUCUGUGGCUAAACUGAAAAAUGCUGAGCUAAGCAUUUUCUUAAACACCACCUUCUAACUUUCACUUAAAGCUUCGUCUUUUAAACACAAGAGCGCCAAACAAGUUUUGGGGGCUUGCAUUAACCAGCCAAGACAUUAGCUAAAAGCAAGACUUUCAAAGUAAUUUUAUUAGGAAAUCAACCCUAAAUGAGACCUGAAUAUCAAUAUCUAUACCGAACAGACCUUGCUGUCGGAUCUAGGAUUUGUAUUUUUUUUUUUUUUCCUGGUACCGGGAAUCGAACUCACCACCUCGCGCUUGCCAGGCAGGCGCGGUGCCGCUGAGCUAAAUCUCCAGCCCCCUGUAUUUUUCAUUUAUUAUGAGUACCUCAUUGCAGCACGUGAGGGCUGUAUUCAUCGUGGGAGCUGGUCCAUGCAUGCACACAACCUCUUCCUGCUUUUCCUGUCCCUUUCUCCUCCCCUCCCUCCCUCCCUCCAUCUCUUGGACCCUUUUCCAUUUGCGAAGGACCUAGCUCCCUAGGUUCCUUGGAGCUAGGGUCUGCCGUGUCGCCCAGACCGACCAGACCCGUUGAAGGGUUGCGGCCACCCUGGAGCCCGGCCGCACCCUGUGCGGAGCAGUUGCGGCUGCAGGGACGGGAGAGUACCGGAGCGGAUGAGGAAGGGAAGGGCGUGGGACCGGGAGGGGGAGAGGAGGGGUGGGACGGGAUGGGGAGCCAGUGCCCCUGCCACUCGGUUCGACACCUGGCUGCUGUGCAGCGCAGCCCCCGGGGAGCACCCGCACUUCUGGCUGGGGUUGGCGCAGCCUCAGCAGUGUCACCUGGAGAAGUCCUAGGGGUCCCGAGGGCCGCGCACGGACCUCCGACAGCUCCGCUCCCUGCGACCUCCGCCGCGGUCAGCGAAGGGUCCAUCGAGGGCCGCCUCAGGAAGGCCCGAUGGAGUCCUCUGCUCCAGCUCCCUCGGCCUCGGGGACCGGCUCCCCGACCCCACCCGCGGGGCCGCCGUCUCCCCGCCCGCGCGUCCACCGUCUCCCCGCCCGCGCGUCCCGUCUACCGCCGCAGGGACCCGGGAGCCGCUCGGUCCGCAGGAGGAGUUGGUCCCUGCCCCACGACGGCAGUUAUGCUUGCUUCAGCAAAAGACACUGUCUGAAGUGUGCACGGAGGGUGCGGGUGCUCACCAGGCGCUGGGUAUUUGCGCGCACAGCUGUGUUCCUGCGCGAACUUCCCCCAGCGCUGCGCUUGGAACUAGGCUUGUCUUCAUGCAUGCUGCUGCUCUGCAAAAAGGUUUCCAAAAGUGUUUAAGGUAUGCUAGCUUCAUAGAAUGGGAGAAGUUUUCAUCUUUGUAAGGCCACAAGUAUUUAAAUCAGAAAUGCUUAUUCUUUGAAAUGUAGCUAGAACUCAGCACUACAAGCACCCAGUCAUGUCUUUUCUUGCUGUUUUUAUUAUAAAAAUACUCAAACACUGACAAAAAUAAAGACAAGUGUAUAAUGAACCUGCAGAUACCCACCAUCUAACUUCAACAGUUACUA